Molecule: long non-coding RNA, 1079 nt
Filed under: Homo sapiens (human)
Lineage: Eukaryota; Metazoa; Chordata; Mammalia; Primates; Hominidae
Description: HSALNT0233894
Source: RNAcentral
UGGUCUUGAACUCCUGACCUCAGGUGAUCUGCCCACCUUGGCAUCCCAAAGAAUUUUAAUUUUUUAAUAAAAACAGCAGUACAUUUUGUUUAACAGAACAUUAGUUACCAGUUAUUUCCAAGAUUAACUCUAUUUAAAUACGAUGAUACAACUUUUUAUAUAACCAAUAUCACAAAUCAUAUUGAAAGGAUAUAAACAUAAAGCCACAUUCAGGUAAAUUACCAAUGGAAUUCCCACUUGUUCAGCUUAGAGAAGCCUAAACAAGUCCUACAUUGAAAAUAAAGCACGGUAGGAAUGAAGUCUGAGGUACAGGAGAUCACAGACGCAGAGUGACAGUAGGGAACGGGGUCAGAGACAAAUGGCCUUGGAGUGGAGACGUACAAUGGUGGCACAGCGUCACACAGGAAGUGGUGACCCCACGAUUCAAAUGGUUUGCUCAUUGGUGAAAAGGGGACAGUAACAUUCACUUCAAAAGCUGUGAGUCUUUUUUUUUUUUUUUUUUUUUUUUUUUUGAGGCAGAGUCUCGCUGUCGCCCAGGCUGGAGUGCAGUGGCGCGAUGUCCGCUCACUUUAGGCUCCGCCCCCCGGGUUCACGCCAUUCUCCUGCCUCAGCCUCCGGAGUAGCUGGGACUACAGGCGCCCGCCACCUUGCCUGGCUAAUUUUUUGUACAAAAGCUGUGAGUCUUAAAUGAACAAAGACAGAAUUUCAGAUAGGCGUUUUGAUAGCAUUGUGGCUCUCUGUGGCAAAGGCCAGUAGGAGCUGUUGGAUCAAGGAACUCCAGUUCUACGCUCUACAAAGAAAAUAUGCUGGCAUGCUAAUCGCGUGAGACAACUUGGCCCACGGACAGCCACAAAGCACAAAAACAAAACACAAACUCACUCAGAGAAGAAACAAGAAUCGUGUUUUCCUGGCAUCUACGAGAAGCGCUUUAUUAGAAGCGCUUUAUUUUUCCUCUAGAUUUCUUUUCUAAAAAAUGAAAAACAAAAACAAACUGAAACAAACAUUUAAAGAAACAAUACAAACUUCAGGUGAUGAUAUUCAAGCAUGUUCUUUUAUUAAGCAUAGGAUGCGAGGCACAG